This 274-nucleotide ribosomal RNA is filed under the name uncultured bacterium. RNAcentral's name for it is "partial 16S ribosomal RNA". It matches the Rfam family "Bacterial small subunit ribosomal RNA", at positions 523 to 796 of the family's 1533-position model. The record is from RNAcentral.
AUACGGAGGGGGCUAGCGUUGUUCGGAUUUACUGGGCGUAAAGCGCACGUAGGCGGUAUAUCAAGUUAGGCGUGAAAGCCCCGGGCUCAACCCGGGAACUGCGCUUAUUACUGAUAAACUAGAGUCCGGGAGAGGGUAGCGGAAUUCCCAGUGUAGAGGUGAAAUUCGUAGAUAUUGGGAAGAACACCAGUUGCGAAGGCGGCUACCUGGACCGGUACUGACGCUGAGGUGCGAAAGCGUGGGGAGCAAACAGGAUUAGAAACCCCAGUAGUCC